Molecule: long non-coding RNA, 2664 nt
Organism: Salvelinus sp. IW2-2015
Lineage: Eukaryota; Metazoa; Chordata; Actinopteri; Salmoniformes; Salmonidae
Source: RefSeq, a predicted model, not a curated record
CCUGACACUCACGCCCAUUGAGAAAGUGGGCAUAGAUCAAUUUAUACACUCUCUUCCGGUCGAAGCUAAAAGGUUAGCCAGCCAAGCUAACCUGCAGGGCGCAGAUCAGCUGGUGGAACUGGUGUAAGGACAACAGGUGGCUUUGGAGGCUCUGCGCAGAGGACAACCAUGGAAGGCGGACCCUCCACUCGCCCAAAGGAGCGAAAAAGGGAGGAGGACCAGGCCGGGACCCCGGCCAAGGAUAGGGGGACACCCACAGUCAGCUCCCCGAGACGACACGCCUUCCUGAACCUGGACAGCAGGAAAUGUGUGUGGUGAGCCGGGACACAUCGCCUGGAACUGUUUAAACCGCUAUGUCCCGAUCCCUUUAGCUUCACCCAGUGAGGUAGCCAACGGGCGGCCCUGCGGCUUGCUGAUGGCAUGCUGGCCUAGGGAGAGUGGUCCUUCCCCUGUCACCCCGGUAAGAGCCAAUGGAAAGGACACCACGGCACUUGUGGACUCCGGGAGUAUGGUGACCCUGGUCCGAGCUGAUGUCGCCCAGUCCUCGAACCUGGCGGAGACCGUGGCCAUUAUGUGCAUACACGGUGAGACCAAGGACUACCCUACUACACUCUUCCACCUACAGACCACAAAGGGACAACACAUGGGACCGUGGGAGUCGUCCCAAACCUGCCUGUCUCAGUCCUUAUCAGGAGGGAUUUCCCGAUGUUCCGCCAAUUGUGGACCAGUAUGUCCGGAGACGUGGGGAACCGAGGGAACCAGAAGGGAGGAGGAAGGCGGAGAGGUGGGAGAGACGCCAGGAGAGGGAUGCCCGGAUGUGUGGAUUCCAGGAAGUGGACCCCCAGGCGUCAACUGACCCCCUCUGAGGGGGACUCUGUUGAAGCCAGACUGGAGAUAGAGGUGGCGAUUCGGAAGACAUGUUCCCGAUUGACCAUGAGGUGGCGCCAGAGCCCGCCUCUCUAGCGGGCCGGUUAGGCACAACCCAACUGGAGGAUUCCAACUUGGCCAGCGCUCUCCAGCAGGUGACCAUGGUGGACGGAAAGCCCGUGGAUGGGUAAGUCAAAUCGCCUACCCCCAUUUUUCUAUAAAGAAGAAGUUCCUAUAUCAGGUCGUGAAGAAGAAUGACGAAUGUAUGGAGUUGUUGUUGGUGUCCCGUCCCUUUGUACCGUCUGUCCUGCAUUUGGCGCACUCCCACCUUCUUGGGGCUCACCUAGGGGUGAAGAAGACUUUAGACAGGAUCAAGGCACGGUUUUAAGGACCGGGGGUGAAGAGAGCAGUGAAAGAAUACUGCCGCAGUUGCCCGGAGUUCCAGCAGGUGGUGCCAAAACCCCAUUAUCGCAGUCCCUUAAUUCUCCUACCAUUAUUUCAGUCCCUUUCAGCAGGAUUGCGAUGGACCUGGUGGGACCUCUACCAAAGAGCAACCGAGGCCACCUACACAUUCUGGUGAUUCUGGAUUAUGUCAUCAGGCACCCAGAAGCCAUUCCCCUGUGCACCAUGGCCACCAAGGGAAUCGCACGUGAGUUGGUCAUCCUGUUCUCCCGAGUAGGCAUCUCCGACAAGAUAUUGACCGACCAGGGUACCCCAUUCAUGUCGCGAAUCAUGAAGGAUCUAUGCAAGCUAAUGAAAAUAACCCAGUUGCACACCUCAGUGUUUUGCCCGCAGACCGAUAGGUUGGUGGAAAGGUUUAAUCGAACCCUGAAGCAGAUGAUAAAGAAGGUGAUAGAGGCUGAUGGAAUUAAUUGGGACCAGCUGCUACCUUACCUGAUGUUCUCGAUCCGAGUAGUGCCCCAAGCUUCAACAGGAUUCUCUCCCUUCGAACUCCUGUACGGGAUGCGACCCCGAGGACUGCUGGAUGUGGAUAAAGAAGCCUGGGAACAAAAACUGUCUUGGCGGCAUACAUCGACGAUAUUGUGGUCCAUGGGAGCGAGUGGGAGACACAUCUAAACCAGGGGAGCGCAGUACUGCAGACCUUACGGGAGGCGGGGCUAACAGCGAAUCCAAAGAAAUGUCGGCUCAGCCUGCGGGAGGCUGAGUACCUGGGGUACACGAUCGGGAGGUGAUGUGUCAAACCCCAGGUGAAGAAAGUGGAGGCGAUUUGGGACUGGCACCGCCCCCUCACCAAGAAGCAGGUGACAUGGACCAAGGAGACGGAGAAAGCCUUCCAGGACCUAAAGGGAGCACUGUGUUCUGGACCUGUGCUGCUGACCCCGGACAUCUCCAAACCAUUGGUGGUACCGACCGAUGCGUUCGAAACCGGGGUAGAUGCCGUCCUAUCACAGCUACAAGAAGAUCAGGUGCAGCCCAUGAAAAUGCCAAUGCUCUCUCCAGGAGGGAUGCUCUAGGUAGCUGGACUGAAGGCGGGGGGUGUGUGGCAGACGGCCGGGAGAGGUGAGGGGAGUGGUUAUUGAGGGGAGAUAUCUUGCAUCCCGCUGGCUCAACCCCCAAGCCUUAUAUGGACUUCCUGUCCCAACGAGGCGAGGCUCUGGAUCAUUAAGCCAGGGAGUGCUUGAAGAUAAAAGAGGAAGCGGUCUGCACAAAGAGGAAGAGAAUGGAGAGAAAAACAUGCGUAAUGAAGAGUGGGAGAAGAGAGAAAAAUAUCUGUGUGAUUACUCGUUGUGACCUGGACUGUCUGAUUACCCCCCUUGUGUACCGGAUUGGCUGAUG